Molecule: long non-coding RNA, 657 nt
Organism: Zea mays
Lineage: Eukaryota; Viridiplantae; Streptophyta; Magnoliopsida; Poales; Poaceae
Exons: 3
Source: RefSeq, a predicted model, not a curated record
UUUCCGCGCUCGAUUGCACGGCCCCCGUUCUUUCCUCUUCCCCAAACCGUGCUCGUGCUCUGCUUCAUUGUUCAGCGGAUCUGGUUCCGUUCAAGCCAUAUUGGAUGGUUCCUGCAACAAACCUGAUAAUUCGCUUGAUGGCUGUCCAGUGCUCAGCAUUUGGUGUUUCCAUAAAUCUACUCACCAUUCCUACUGAGAAGGCAAGAUCAGGUCUUGUGUUAACCAAGUACCUCAAACUACCAACAAGACUUCUGUAUUUUGUUGCAUCCAAAAUCAGCUCAGGCUUCCCAGAUGGAGUUCCCAUCCCUUGAUUUUGCAUCAUACUUGAUAUUGGAGUGUAUGGAGAAGCAGGUUCAUUAGCUUGUCCUGUUCCACUGCUUCGGCCAACUGAAUUUUCUCCUCCUGUACUUUGGUCUGACAGUGUUGGGUUACUAUCAUCCCCAGCUGUUGCCAUGUUUUGGUCAGUUAGAUCAUAGUGAACAAUAAAAGUGUCAUUCUCCUGUUGAUCUGUGCUGCACUUUGAACUGUCCCAGUCCCAAGGUUUCCCUUCUUCAAAUACCACAUCUCUACUAACUACCAGCUUAUUUGUAGCUGGAUCAAAGAACCUGUAUGCUUUAGUUCCUGACUCAUAGCCAAUAAAUACCAUUUUGCUGGAUC